RNAcentral lists this ribosomal RNA (361 nucleotides) under Escherichia coli. Its description in RNAcentral is "partial 23S ribosomal RNA". It matches the Rfam family "Bacterial large subunit ribosomal RNA", at positions 418 to 779 of the family's 2925-position model. Lineage: Bacteria; Pseudomonadati; Pseudomonadota; Gammaproteobacteria; Enterobacterales; Enterobacteriaceae. The record is from RNAcentral.
CGGGACACGUGGUAUCCUGUCUGAAUAUGGGGGGACCAUCCUCCAAGGCUAAAUACUCCUGACUGACCGAUAGUGAACCAGUACCGUGAGGGAAAGGCGAAAAGAACCCCGGCGAGGGGAGUGAAAAAGAACCUGAAACCGUGUACGUACAAGCAGUGGGAGCACAGAGCAAUCUGUGUGACUGCGUACCUUUUGUAUAAUGGGUCAGCGACUUAUAUUCUGUAGCAAGGUUAACCGAAUAGGGGAGCCGAAGGGAAACCGAGUCUUAACUGGGCGUUAAGUUGCAGGGUAUAGACCCGAAACCCGGUGAUCUAGCCAUGGGCAGGUUGAAGGUUGGGUAACACUAACUGGAGGACCGAAC